This 193-nucleotide unclassified non-coding RNA is filed under the name Glomus sp. RNAcentral describes it as "partial contains 5.8S ribosomal RNA and internal transcribed spacer 2". The stretch from base 1 to 65 matches the Rfam family "5.8S ribosomal RNA", at positions 84 to 154 of the family's 154-position model. Lineage: Eukaryota; Fungi; Glomeromycota; Glomeromycetes; Glomerales; Glomeraceae. The record is from RNAcentral.
GUGAAUCAUCGAAUCUUUGAACGCAAAUUGCACUCUCCUCGGAGAGUAUGCCUGUUUGAGUGUCAGCCUAUAAAAAAUCGACAUCGUUGCUGUUUCGCGGUGGCGUUCGUCGGAAAUUGGGUCAUCUUAAAUCCUUUCGUUUUUUAAUCGGUUAAAAUUUUUCUUUUUGAUUCUAUUAACAUUCUUAAUUUUU